RNAcentral lists this transfer RNA (75 nucleotides) under Sphaerodactylus townsendi. RNAcentral's name for it is "tRNA-Ala". Lineage: Eukaryota; Metazoa; Chordata; Lepidosauria; Squamata; Sphaerodactylidae. The record is from RNAcentral.
GGGGUUGUAGCUCAGUGGUAGAGCUACAUCUCCUUGGCACGCAGAAGGUCCCAGAUUCAAUCCACAACAUCUCCA